AGACAGGUGGUGCAUGGUUGUCGUCAGCUCGUGUCGUGAGAUGUUGGGUUAAGUCCCGCAACGAGCGCAACCCCUAUUUCCAGUAACCAGCAUUUCGGAUGGGGACUCUGGAGAGACUGCCCGGGAGAACCGGGAGGAAGGCGGGGAUGACGUCAAAUCAUCAUGCCCCUUAUGGCCAGGGCGACACACGUGCUACAAUGGCGUAAACAAAGGGAGGCGAAGUGGCGACACGGAGCAAAUCCCAGAAAUAACGUCCCAGUUCGGAUUGUAGUCUGCAACCCGACUACAUGAAGCUGGAAUCGCUAGUAAUCGCGAAUCAGAAUGUCGCGGUGAAUACGUUCCCGGGUCUUGUACACACCGCCCGUCACACCAUGGGAGUCGGAAAUGCCCGAAGUCAGUGACCCAACCGCAAGGAGGGAGCUGCCGAAGGUGGAGCCGGUAACUGGGGUGAAGUCGUAACAAGG
This 464-nucleotide ribosomal RNA is filed under the name uncultured bacterium. Its description in RNAcentral is "bacterial SSU rRNA". It matches the Rfam family "Bacterial small subunit ribosomal RNA", at positions 1032 to 1496 of the family's 1533-position model. The record is from RNAcentral.